This 704-nucleotide long non-coding RNA is filed under the name Homo sapiens (human). RNAcentral describes it as "long non-coding RNA NONHSAT180152.1". Lineage: Eukaryota; Metazoa; Chordata; Mammalia; Primates; Hominidae. The record is from RNAcentral.
CUGACGUGAGCGCGAACUCGCACUGCCCAGAGGGUGGCCGCCGCCUAAGCUGCAGCCGCCGGAGCCGCAGAAACAAGAGGCCGAGCCGUGUCGAAGAUGGAGAAACCCUCAGGGCCCAUCCCAGACAUGCUGGCCACUGCAGAGCCCAGCUCCAGUGAGACCGACAAGGAGGUGUUGUCCCCGGCUGUGCCAGCUGCAGCCCCUUCCUCCUCCAUGUCGGAGGAGCCAGGCCCUGAGCAGGCAGCCACACCGCCAGUGUGGGAACGUGGAGGGGCUGGAGGGAUGCAGCAGGGCUCCUCCCCAGCCCCAGACAGCUGCCAGCCUGGCCCCGGACCCAGCCCUGGCCUGACCAGCAUAGUCUCCGGGACCAGCGAGGACCUGCGGCCUCCCAGACGACGCCCACCUCCAGGGAAGCAAAUCCCUUGCUCCAGCCCUGGCUGCUGCCUCAGUUUUCCCAGCGUCCGUGACCUGGCACAGCAUCUGCGAACCCACUGCCCGCCCACACAGUCCCUGGAAGGCAAGCUCUUCCGCUGCUCAGCCCUGAGCUGCACCGAGACCUUCCCCAGCAUGCAGGAGCUGGUGGCUCACAGCAAACUGCACUACAAACCCAAUCGCUACUUCAAGUGUGAGAACUGCCUCCUGCGCUUCCGCACGCACCGCUCGCUCUUCAAGCACCUGCAUGUUUGCGCGGAGCAUGCGCAGAG